GAUGAAGAACGCAGCGAAAUGCGAUAAGUAAUGCGAAUUGCAGAAUUCAGUGAAUCAUCGAAUCUUUGAACGCACAUUGCGCCCUUUGGUAUUCCUUAGGGCAUGCCUGUUCGAGCGUCAUUUGAAACCUCAAGCUCAGCUUGGUGUUGGGUGUCUGUCCCCGCCUCACCGCGGGGACUCGCCUCAAAAUCAUUGGCGGCCGGUACGUUGGCUUCGAGCGCAGCAGAAACGCGAACUCGAGGCCCGGCGGAUCGGCGACCAGAAGUCACUUCUUCACAGUUUGACCUCGGAUCAGGUAGGGAUACCCGCUGAACUUAAGCAUAUCAAUAAGCGGAGGA
This 338-nucleotide unclassified non-coding RNA is filed under the name soil metagenome. RNAcentral's name for it is "partial contains 5.8S ribosomal RNA, internal transcribed spacer 2, and large subunit ribosomal RNA". The stretch from base 1 to 120 matches the Rfam family "5.8S ribosomal RNA", at positions 35 to 154 of the family's 154-position model. The record is from RNAcentral.